GUAGUCCGCACCGUAAACGAUGGAUACUAGGCGUUCGGAGAGUUAACCCUCUGAGUGCCAAAGUUCACACAUUAAGUAUCCCGCCUGGGAAGUACGGUCGCAAGACUAAAACUCAAAGGAAUUGACGGGGGCCCGCACAAGCGGUGGAGUAUGUGGUUUAAUUCGAAGCAACGCGCAGAACCUUACCUGGCCUUGACAUCGCGAGACCGGUGCAGAGAUGCAUCUUUCCCUUCGGGGACUCGUAGACAGGUGCUGCAUGGCUGUCGUCAGCUCGUGUUGUGAAAUGUUCGGUUAAGUCCGGCAACGAGCGCAACCCCUGUUCUCAGUUACCAGCAUUAAGUUGGGGACUCUGGGAAGACCGCCGGUGUUAAACCGGAG
RNAcentral lists this ribosomal RNA (378 nucleotides) under uncultured bacterium. RNAcentral describes it as "bacterial SSU rRNA". It matches the Rfam family "Bacterial small subunit ribosomal RNA", at positions 790 to 1168 of the family's 1533-position model. The record is from RNAcentral.